Molecule: non-coding RNA, 112 nt
Organism: Acanthosepion pharaonis
Lineage: Eukaryota; Metazoa; Mollusca; Cephalopoda; Sepiida; Sepiidae
Source: the annotation of a GenBank genome assembly
UACGGCCACAUCACUUUGAAACACCGGUUCACAUACGAUCACCGAAGUUAAGCAACGUUGGACAUGGUCAGUACCUAGAUGAGUAACCACUUGGGCAUAUCAGGGGCUGUAA